Molecule: small RNA, 119 nt
Filed under: Salmonella enterica subsp. enterica serovar Weltevreden
Lineage: Bacteria; Pseudomonadati; Pseudomonadota; Gammaproteobacteria; Enterobacterales; Enterobacteriaceae
Description: partial RtT sRNA
Rfam family: RtT RNA
About the family: This family represents a bacterial cis-regulatory element known as RtT RNA. The exact function of RtT is unknown although it is thought that it may be involved in changing the cellular response in relation to amino acid starvation.
Source: RNAcentral
UGGGGAAGGAUGAGAAGCUUCGACUAAGGUUCGAUUCGAGCGCAGCGAGAAAGCGUUGCCGCAGGCAACGACCCGAAGGGCGAAGCGCGCAGCGCUGAGUAAUCCUUCCCCCACCACCA